This 364-nucleotide unclassified non-coding RNA is filed under the name Hevea brasiliensis (rubber tree). Lineage: Eukaryota; Viridiplantae; Streptophyta; Magnoliopsida; Malpighiales; Euphorbiaceae. The record is from RNAcentral.
GGGGAAACUGUUUUGCUGUUGUCUAACUCUAACAGAUGUGCCAAGCAAAUGGACUGUGUCUGAUCCAGAGAACUUCAAGAUGACAUCUCGCUUGCGUAUCUUAUCUGUCUGUCUCUUCAAGUGGUUAAAUCUUGCAUGUCUGUCAACUGGAAAAAUGUGAAGUCCAGCUACCAUUAGGUCAACCCCAGCAGCAGGACCCUGGACAUACACCAUCACUUUAGCUGCUUGCUUCUCAAUUCUAAAAGAUCCUCCAAUUUCAUGCCAUUGAUCAUCGCUAACCUCAACUUGGCCCCCAUUAACCCAUUGGUCGUCUACACCAAGGGCCACACUUACAUUCUGAGGGCCUGAUGCAUGUCUGACUUUA